CAGUAGCCGCGGGAAUACGGAGGAUCCAAGCGUUAUCCGGAUUUAUUGGGUUUAAAGGGUGCGUAGGUGGCCUGUUAAGUCAGGGGUGAAAGACGGUAGCUUAACUAUCGCAGUGCCCUUGAUACUGAUGGGCUUGAAUGAACUAGAGGUAGGCGGAAUGUGACAAGUAGCGGUGAAAUGCAUAGAUAUGUCACAGAACACCGAUUGCGAAGGCAGCUUACUAUGGUUUUAUUGACACUGAGGCACGAAAGCGUGGGGAUCAAACAGGAUUAGAUACCCCAGUAGUCCCUGUCUCUUAUAC
Molecule: ribosomal RNA, 301 nt
Filed under: uncultured bacterium
Lineage: Bacteria
Description: partial 16S ribosomal RNA
Rfam family: Bacterial small subunit ribosomal RNA
Source: RNAcentral